Molecule: long non-coding RNA, 809 nt
Organism: Canis lupus familiaris (dog)
Lineage: Eukaryota; Metazoa; Chordata; Mammalia; Carnivora; Canidae
Exons: 3
Source: RefSeq, a predicted model, not a curated record
AGUUCAACUGUUUCCCAGGAACAAAGAGAAGAAUUUGUUCUUUGGGGAAGCUGGACCAAAGCCAGUGCAUGCUUCUUCUCAGACGGGUGUGCUUCUUCAAUCCAGUAGACUCUCCUCAAGUGGGACUCUGAUGCAGAUCUGCUAAGUUUCAGGAGAAGUGGGAAAUAUCUAUUUUCAUUGGAAACUUCCAGAAUUUUAAAAUCAAGACAUUUAUUCUGCUCCAGGAUCAGAAUCUUCCUUUUGAAACCAGGCUGUCCUAAAACAAGUCCCAGGACCCGAGGGGCAAACUUUUCCAGCCCAACUCUACAGGAUUUCAGGUGGAUUCGUGGCCUUAGGAUUAUGGCACCUCAGAAACCAAUGCUGGCUACCUGACAACCUCCAUUGUUACCUGUGGAGCUGUUCUUUUAAGAUUUAUUUUAUGGUCUAAAUUGAUUUGGCUUCCAUAACAAUACCCUCAAUGAAUCUGAUCUCACUGGUAAAAUGGAACUUUUUUCUUUAAAAGCAGUUUUCAAGAAGCGGUUUAAAAUGUCUGGUAUUGUUACUUUAUGAAGUACCUAUUCUUCAACAAUAGAGCAAAUAACAAGUACAUCUCCUCAGGCUGCACUCUCCUUUGUGGUACUUUGAGAAUCCCUCAACUCACUUUUUCUGUCAAUUAACCUCUCAUUUAAAUUUCUCUCUCGAAUAAAAACUUUUCUGACCUCCUUCCAUUAACCUCUUCUUCAUAAUACCAUUCACCAUCUGUUACUUUUCUCUAGAUACAUUUAAUUUCUUGGAAGGAAUUUUCAUGACAGUAAUGGGGCAGAAGAGAA